RNAcentral lists this ribosomal RNA (468 nucleotides) under uncultured bacterium. RNAcentral describes it as "partial 16S ribosomal RNA". It matches the Rfam family "Bacterial small subunit ribosomal RNA", at positions 28 to 507 of the family's 1533-position model. The record is from RNAcentral.
GACGAACGCUGGCGGCGUGCUUAACACAUGCAAGUCGAACGGAAAGGCCCUGCUUUUGUGGGGUGCUCGAGUGGCGAACGGGUGAGUAACACGUGAGUAACCUGCCCUUGACUUUGGGAUAACUUCAGGAAACUGGGGCUAAUACCGGAUAGGAGCUCCUGCUGCUUGGUGGGGGUUGGAAAGUUUCGGCGGUUGGGGAUGGACUCGCGGCUUAUCAGCUUGUUGGUGGGGUAGUGGCUUACCAAGGCUUUGACGGGUAGCCGGCCUGAGAGGGUGACCGGCCACAUUGGGACUGAGAUACGGCCCAGACUCCUACGGGAGGCAACGGUGGGGAAUAUUGCACAAUGGACGGAAGCCUGAUGCAGCAACGCCGCGUGCGGGAUGACAGCCUUCGGGUUAUAAACAGCUUUCGCCUGUAACGAAGCGUGAGUGACGGUAAUGGGUAAAGAAGCACCGGCUAACUACGUG